Molecule: long non-coding RNA, 199 nt
Filed under: Ananas comosus (pineapple)
Lineage: Eukaryota; Viridiplantae; Streptophyta; Magnoliopsida; Poales; Bromeliaceae
Description: long non-coding RNA (ACOM_LNC026018)
Source: RNAcentral
ACUGCUGCAGAAAAACUAAGAUCUGGGCGCCCUAAACCCAGUUCUGGGCGCCCAGAACUUCCAGCCUGCACAAACAGUACCUCGGUUCCUCCGUCCGACGGUCAGCUACACCGCUAUCCAGUUCCGGCGGAUCUCACCUACCACACCCAUGUGUAAACACAAUCGAUAUUCACGAUGUGAAUUUUCGGGUCCAGUUUUU